Molecule: ribosomal RNA, 460 nt
Filed under: uncultured bacterium
Lineage: Bacteria
Description: partial 16S ribosomal RNA
Rfam family: Bacterial small subunit ribosomal RNA
Source: RNAcentral
CCUACGGGAGGCAGCAGUGAGGAAUAUUGGUCAAUGGGCGUAAGCCUGAACCAGCCAAGUCGCGUGAAGGAUGACGGCCCUAUGGGUUGUAAACUUCUUUUGUCAGGGAGCAAUGGGGGCCACGCGUAGGCUUAGCGAGAGUACCUGAAGAAAAAGCAUCGGCUAACUCCGUGCCAGCAGCCGCGGUAAUACGGAGGAUGCGAGCGUUAUCCGGAUUUAUUGGGUUUAAAGGGUGCGUAGGCGGAAUGUCAAGUCAGCGGUAAAAUCUCGGGGCUCAACCCCGUCGUGCCGUUGAAACUGGUGUUCUUGAGUGGGCGAGAAGUAUGCGGAAUGCGUGGUGUAGCGGUGAAAUGCAUAGAUAUCACGCAGAACUCCGAUUGCGAAGGCAGCAUACCGGCGCCCAACUGACGCUGAAGCACGAAAGCGUGGGUAUCGAACAGGAUUAGAUACCCGGGUAGUC